RNAcentral lists this ribosomal RNA (253 nucleotides) under uncultured bacterium. RNAcentral describes it as "partial 16S ribosomal RNA". It matches the Rfam family "Bacterial small subunit ribosomal RNA", at positions 524 to 776 of the family's 1533-position model. The record is from RNAcentral.
UACGUAGGUGGCAAGCGUUGUCCGGAUUUAUUGGGUUUAAAGGGUGCGUAGGCGGUCUUUUAAGUCAGUGCUGAAAUAUCCCGGCUUAACCGGGAGGGUGGCAUUGAUACUGAAGGACUUGAGUUCAGUCGAGGUAGGCGGAAUUGACGGUGUAGCGGUGAAAUGCUUAGAUAUCGUCAAGAACACCGAUAGUGUAGACAGCUUACUAGGUUGAAACUGACGCUGAGGCACGAAAGUGUGGGGAUCAAACAGG